UGAUGUUGACUUCGCUACUAAUAAAGGA
This 28-nucleotide non-coding RNA is filed under the name Mus musculus (house mouse). The record is from RNAcentral. Lineage: Eukaryota; Metazoa; Chordata; Mammalia; Rodentia; Muridae.